RNAcentral lists this ribosomal RNA (497 nucleotides) under uncultured bacterium. RNAcentral describes it as "partial 16S ribosomal RNA". It matches the Rfam family "Bacterial small subunit ribosomal RNA", at positions 28 to 507 of the family's 1533-position model. The record is from RNAcentral.
GAUGAACGCUGGCGGCGUGCCUAAUACAUGCAAGUCGAGCGAACAGAUGAGGAGCUUGCUCCUCUGACGUUAGCGGCGGACGGGUGAGUAACACGUGGAUAACCUAUCUAUAAGACUGAGAUAACUUCGGGAAACCGGAGCUCAUACCCGAUAAUAUAUUGAACCGCAUGGUUCAAUGGUGAAAGACGGUUUUGCUGUCCCUAAUACAGGGUUCCUCGCCGGAUUAGCUAGUUGGUAAGGUAACGGCUUACCAAGGCAACGAUGCGUAGCCGACCUGAGAGGGUGAUCAGUCACACUGGAACUGAGACACGGUCCAGACUCCUACGGGAGGCAGCAGUAGGGAAUCUUCCGCAAUGGGCGAAAGCCUGACGGAGCAACGCCGCGUGUGUGAUGAAGGUCUUCGGAUCGUAAAACUCUGUUAUUAGGGAAGAACAAAUGUGUAAGUAACUAUGCAUGUCUUGACGUUACCUACUCAGAAAGCACCGGCUAACUACGUG